RNAcentral lists this long non-coding RNA (555 nucleotides) under Numida meleagris (helmeted guineafowl). RNAcentral describes it as "lncRNA (ENSNMEG00000013829.1)". Lineage: Eukaryota; Metazoa; Chordata; Aves; Galliformes; Numididae. The record is from RNAcentral.
GACCAGAUGAGAUAUUUUGCUUCAUUUAUGAUUUCUGCAGAAGUAUUUGUUUGUAAACAUGUCCAUCUGUUCUUCUGGAAUUGCACCACAUCACCAAAGAGGCGUCUGACCUUAAAAUCCAUGUGCCUGUGACUGGCAGUGUCUGGUGGCUGCUUUUCAUUUUUGAAUUGUUUCCUGAUUGCCUCCUUAUGAUAAUACUGUCCUUUGCAAGGUUUACAUCAUACCCAGAGGCCUUCGGCUUGGAACAUACUGAGACCAUGGAUCCUGUUUGCUGUGUUGUCAUCAGGAAGAAUGAUGCCCAUAGCAGGACACAGCUGAGUGUUAUCACAGUCUCUAGGCUUACAGACUGUGAACAUGCUCUGAUAACUAGCCAGCCAAAUGAUAUUGCAGUUGUGGGACCAGAGUCGUAUAAAAUAUUGAAAGGACAUAACGCAAGGGAAAGUGCAACAAGACAGCAGAGCAGCAAUGUCACAGGUCACUGCGAGUGAGGAUCCACUCAGAUACGACGGCAGUAGGUGCAGAAAUAAAAGAAAGAAACUGCCUGUAAGGUCCUCA